Molecule: transfer RNA, 73 nt
Filed under: Lingula anatina
Lineage: Eukaryota; Metazoa; Brachiopoda; Lingulata; Lingulida; Lingulidae
Rfam family: tRNA
About the family: Transfer RNA (tRNA) molecules are approximately 80 nucleotides in length. Their secondary structure includes four short double-helical elements and three loops (D, anti-codon, and T loops).
Source: Rfam by way of RNAcentral
GGGGAUCUAGCUCAAAUGGUAGAGCACUCGCUUAGCAUGUGAGAGGUACUGGAAUCAAUACCUAUGUUCUCCA